This 459-nucleotide ribosomal RNA is filed under the name Clavispora lusitaniae. RNAcentral's name for it is "partial large subunit ribosomal RNA". It matches the Rfam family "Eukaryotic large subunit ribosomal RNA", at positions 136 to 653 of the family's 3401-position model. The record is from RNAcentral. Lineage: Eukaryota; Fungi; Ascomycota; Pichiomycetes; Serinales; Metschnikowiaceae.
GCGGGAAUUGUAAUUUGAAGGUUUCGUGGUCUGAGUCGGCCGCGCCCAAGUCCAUUGGAACAUGGCGCCUGGGAGGGUGAGAGCCCCGUAUGGCGCACGCCGACUCUUUGCACCGCGGCUCCGACGAGUCGAGUUGUUUGGGAAUGCAGCUCUAAGUGGGUGGUAAAUUCCAUCUAAAGCUAAAUAUUGGCGAGAGACCGAUAGCGAACAAGUACAGUGAUGGAAAGAUGAAAAGCACUUUGAAAAGAGAGUGAAACAGCACGUGAAAUUGUUGAAAGGGAAGGGCUUGCAAGCAGACACGGUUUUACCGGGCCAGCGUCGAAAAGGGGGGAGGAACAAGAACUCGAGAAUGUGGCGCGCACCUUCGGGCGCGCGUGUUAUAGCUCGUGUUGACGCCUCCAUCCCUUUUCGAGGCCUGCGAUUCUAGGACGCUGGCGUAAUGGUUGCAAGCCGCCCGUC